GAUGAACGCUGGCGGCGUGCCUAAUACAUGCAAGUCGAACGAAGAUCUAGCUUGCUAGAUCUUAGUGGCGAACGGGUGAGUAAUACAUAAAUAAUCUGCCCAUAUGACUGGGAUAACUAUUGGAAACGAUAGCUAAUACCGGAUAGGUUGAUUGGAGGCAUCUCUGAUUAAUUAAAGUAGGAUUUCUACACAAAUGGAUGAGUUUAUGGCGCAUUAGUUAGUUGGUGGGGUAACGGCCUAACAAGACGAUGAUGCGUAGCCGACCUGAGAGGGUGACCGGCCACACUGGGACUGAGACACGGCCCAGACUCCUACGGGAGACAGCAGUAGGGAAUUUUCGGCAAUGGGCGCAAGCCUGACCGAGCAACGCCGCGUGAGUGAUUAAGGCCUUCGGGUUGUAAAGCUCUGUUGUAAGGGAAGAACAUUCAGGAUAGGAAAUGAUCUUGAACUGACGGUACCUUACCAGAAAGCCACGGCUAACUACGUGCCAGCAGCCGCCGUAA
RNAcentral lists this ribosomal RNA (503 nucleotides) under uncultured bacterium. RNAcentral's name for it is "partial 16S ribosomal RNA". It matches the Rfam family "Bacterial small subunit ribosomal RNA", at positions 28 to 523 of the family's 1533-position model. The record is from RNAcentral.